GGUAAAAUGGCUGAGUGAGGCGUUAGACUGUAAAUCUAAACACAGAGGAGUAGUCCUCUUUUUACCA
This is a transfer RNA of 67 nucleotides. It matches the Rfam family "tRNA". Rfam says of the family: Transfer RNA (tRNA) molecules are approximately 80 nucleotides in length. Their secondary structure includes four short double-helical elements and three loops (D, anti-codon, and T loops).